RNAcentral lists this ribosomal RNA (292 nucleotides) under uncultured bacterium. RNAcentral describes it as "partial 16S ribosomal RNA". It matches the Rfam family "Bacterial small subunit ribosomal RNA", at positions 505 to 796 of the family's 1533-position model. The record is from RNAcentral.
GUGCCAGCAGCCGCGGUAAUACGUAGGGUGCGAGCGUUAAUCGGAAUUACUGGGCGUAAAGCGUGCGCAGGCGGUUCUGAAAGUCAGCUGUGAAAGCCCCGGGCUUAACCUGGGAAUUGCGGUUGAAACUACAGGGCUAGAAUCUGGCAGAGGGGGGUGGAAUUCCACGUGUAGCAGUGAAAUGCGUAGAGAUGUGGAGGAACACCGAUGGCGAAGGCAGCCCCCUGGGCUGAGAUUGACGCUCAGGCACGAAAGCGUGGGGAGCAAACAGGAUUAGAAACCCCUGUAGUCC